AAGAGGCUGUUUUCCCUGUCAUCAGGGGAGAGUGUGGAGCAGCAGGUGACACAGGAGAACUCUCUUUCGGACACAGCUGCCCAGGAUGGGUUCUCCCAGGAUGGGCAGCCCUGGACACUGCAGCGUGUGAUCAGGCAUUGUCGCCCGUGUCAGCGCUCUGCCCUGCUUGCACCAACACCUUCAGCUGUGCUGUGAAGCUGGAGCGGCGGGACAGGGCCGCGGAUGGGGCUGCUGCCUCUUCCCCUCCUCUCGAGAAGGCCACCGCAAGGCUGGCAGGAGCAGCGGGACAGGAGCCGAGCCCCCCGCCAGCAGCUCGCAAGGCCAGCUUGCCUGUAAAAGAAGAGCUCCUCGAAGAGCGUGAAGCGCAGGUGGAAGCUUCGGCCUCGGAUGUGCCUUGCCCCAGCCACGCUCCGUUCCCCCUGCGGAAGAGUCCUGGGCAGCGCUACCAGGACAAGGGAGACCUGGUGUACAUAAAGCGGGAGGCAAGCGGGGCCGGCGGCCUGUGCACCUACCUGCUCGCGGGGCUGCCGC
This is a long non-coding RNA of Nothoprocta perdicaria, 531 nucleotides long. RefSeq lists it as uncharacterized. NCBI's taxonomy places the organism in Eukaryota, Metazoa, Chordata, Aves, Tinamiformes, Tinamidae. The record is from RefSeq and is a predicted model, not a curated record. The transcript is spliced from 4 exons.